ACAUGCAGAAGAGGUGCAUUUCUCAGGCAGUUAUCAGGCGGAGCCCCACUCCUAAGCGUGAUAACCAGGGGAGACAAUGCCGAGGUGGCGUAAGAUCGGGGUCGAUACGCUGCCGGCCUUGAAGGCUGAAUCCUUCAGGCUGUCACUUGUCAUCCAUAUGGACAGACAGGUGGAGCGCUUCUGGCAGA
Molecule: non-coding RNA, 188 nt
Filed under: Salinivibrio sp. KP-1
Lineage: Bacteria; Pseudomonadati; Pseudomonadota; Gammaproteobacteria; Vibrionales; Vibrionaceae
Also listed under: 1 other name
Description: Lysine riboswitch aptamer
Rfam family: Lysine riboswitch aptamer
About the family: Riboswitches are metabolite binding domains within certain messenger RNAs that serve as precision sensors for their corresponding targets. Allosteric rearrangement of mRNA structure is mediated by ligand binding, and this results in modulation of gene expression.
Source: Rfam by way of RNAcentral